RNAcentral lists this small RNA (549 nucleotides) under Colletotrichum sp. TD100. RNAcentral describes it as "eukaryotic LSU rRNA". The stretch from base 176 to 329 matches the Rfam family "5.8S ribosomal RNA". The record is from RNAcentral. Lineage: Eukaryota; Fungi; Ascomycota; Sordariomycetes; Glomerellales; Glomerellaceae.
GGGGGAUCGGAGUUAGCUCUACACCCUUUGUGACAUACCUAUAACUGUUGCUUCGGCGGGUAGGGUCUCCGUGACCCUCCCGGCCUCCCGCCCCCGGGCGGGUCGGCGCCCGCCGGAGGAUAACCAAACUCUGAUUUAACGACGUUUCUUCUGAGUGGUACAAGCAAAUAAUCAAAACUUUUAACAACGGAUCUCUUGGUUCUGGCAUCGAUGAAGAACGCAGCGAAAUGCGAUAAGUAAUGUGAAUUGCAGAAUUCAGUGAAUCAUCGAAUCUUUGAACGCACAUUGCGCCCGCCAGCAUUCUGGCGGGCAUGCCUGUUCGAGCGUCAUUUCAACCCUCAAGCUCUGCUUGGUGUUGGGGCCCUACAGCUGAUGUAGGCCCUCAAAGGUAGUGGCGGACCCUCCCGGAGCCUCCUUUGCGUAGUAACUUUACGUCUCGCACUGGGAUCCGGAGGGACUCUUGCCGUAAAACCCCCAAUUUUCCAAAGGUUGACCUCGGAUCAGGUAGGAAUACCCGCUGAACUUAAGCAUAUCAAUAGGCCGGAGGAA